CAGGCAGAGAGAAGCAGGCUGCCCUUGGCUGAACAGAAACCGUGAAGUAGGUAAUGAAGAUGCACAAGUUCGGGUCAAAUUCGCCCUCCGGAAAAACUGCAAAUUAAGAUGCUGUUGACGGAUACGCCGCAGGCUGUCUUAAGCGUCGUGAUCAAAAUCCAAAUAGGCCUCUCUUCACAUGGACUCUCAUCAUUCAGUAGCCCAGCCUGGACUUCCCCACAACAUGGCAGCUGGGGUCCAAGAGGGAAGAAGUGGAAGCUACUAGUCCUUUUAAGGCCUGUGCCACUGGAAGUCUCAAAAUGUCAUUCCCAUCUCAUUCUGUUGGUUAAAGCCAGUCACAAGCCUACAGGAGGCUUAGGUGACACACACCUCUACAUGCAGGAAUAGCGGUGUUUGUGACUGG
This is a long non-coding RNA of Diceros bicornis minor, 403 nucleotides long. RefSeq lists it as uncharacterized. NCBI's taxonomy places the organism in Eukaryota, Metazoa, Chordata, Mammalia, Perissodactyla, Rhinocerotidae. The record is from RefSeq and is a predicted model, not a curated record. The transcript has 4 exons.